CGUGUAGGCGGUGGCACAAGUCGGGUGUGAAAGCCUCUGGCUUAACCAGAGAGGGUCAUCCGAAACUGUGUGACUAGAGGGCGAGAGAGGAAAGUGGAAUUCCCGGUGUAGUGGUGAAAUGCGUAGAUAUCGGGAGGAACAUCGGUGGCGAAGGCGGCUUUCUGGCUCGUACCUGACGCUGAGGCGCGAAAGCGUGGGUAGCGAACUGAAUUAGAUACUCAGGUAGUCCACGCCCUAAACGAUGGAUACUAGGUGUGGGGGGUAUCGACCCCCUCUGUGCCGAAGCUAACGCAUUAAGUAUCCCGCCUGGGGAGUACGGCCGCAAGGCUAAA
RNAcentral lists this ribosomal RNA (332 nucleotides) under uncultured bacterium. RNAcentral's name for it is "bacterial SSU rRNA". It matches the Rfam family "Bacterial small subunit ribosomal RNA", at positions 568 to 898 of the family's 1533-position model. The record is from RNAcentral.